CGCGGGGAGGGGCCGGGCUGCGCCGCGGCGGGCGAGGUGGAAGGCGGAGAGGGAGGAUCGCGGCUGCGGGUUAGGCUUUGAAAGUCAGCCUCGCAGGCAUUGCAGCAGAGCCCCGAGCCGCGGAGAGCAGCGCAGCGGAGCUCGGCUCGCCCCAUCAAGCAUGAAAUUUUUGAGGAAGAAAAUUAAUGCAUCCUUGGACUCCUGAAGGAAGAGCUUUCCUAAUGGAACCACGUUCAAGGAAUUUUAUGUGCUUGGUGGAGAUGGAAAAGGAAGAAAAGCAAGCUGGCCUCCUGAAGAAAGAAGGCAGCAAAUAUUUAAUGGAACUUCUUUUCUGUGAAAGCAUGUUUUGAGUGUUCCUCCUAGACAUCGUCCACAAAUAUCCUAGAUAACAGCUGAUUGCUAUGAUUGGAAACCUGGCUCAUCAAACAGUGUACACUGGGAGAAGCCUGCCUAGGAUAAUAAAUUUUCUUUUGUUUCUGAAAGUCUCUAAGAA
Molecule: long non-coding RNA, 493 nt
Filed under: Chloebia gouldiae (Gouldian finch)
Lineage: Eukaryota; Metazoa; Chordata; Aves; Passeriformes; Passeridae
Description: Erythrura gouldiae (Gouldian finch) lncRNA (ENSEGOG00005004735.1)
Source: RNAcentral